UACAGAGACUGCAAGCGUUAUUCGGAUUCACUGGGCGUAAAGGGUGCGCAGGCGGCCAAGUGUGUGAGGCGUGAAAGCCCGGGGCUUAACCCCGGAAUUGCACCUCAAACUACUUGGCUAGAGCAUUGGAGAGGGUAGCAGAAUUCACGGUGUAGCAGUGAAAUGCGUAGAUAUCGUGAGGAAUACCAGAGGCGAAGGCGGCUACCUGGACAAUUGCUGACGCUCAGGCACGAAAGCGUGGGGAGCAAAAGGG
Molecule: ribosomal RNA, 253 nt
Filed under: uncultured bacterium
Lineage: Bacteria
Description: partial 16S ribosomal RNA
Rfam family: Bacterial small subunit ribosomal RNA
Source: RNAcentral